RNAcentral lists this unclassified non-coding RNA (116 nucleotides) under Chryseobacterium taichungense. RNAcentral's name for it is "Flavo-1 RNA". The record is from RNAcentral. Lineage: Bacteria; Pseudomonadati; Bacteroidota; Flavobacteriia; Flavobacteriales; Weeksellaceae.
CCCUAGUCCCGAUUGAGCGGCAUGUCUGAGCUCUUUCCGGGUUUUGGUUUCUGCGGCGGCGAAGCCGCCGCAGAAACCAAAACCCGGAAAAGCGAGUAGCGAAAGCGGGAAAUGAC